This 465-nucleotide ribosomal RNA is filed under the name uncultured bacterium. RNAcentral's name for it is "partial 16S ribosomal RNA". It matches the Rfam family "Bacterial small subunit ribosomal RNA", at positions 28 to 507 of the family's 1533-position model. The record is from RNAcentral.
GACGAACGCUGGCGGCGUGCUUAACACAUGCAAGUCGAACGGAAAGGCCCCUUUGGGGGUACUCGAGUGGCGCACGGGUGCGUAACACGUGAGUAACCUGCCCUUGACUUCGGGAUAACUUCAGGAAACUGGGGCUAAUACCGGAUAGGAAUCCUUGCUGCAUGGUGGGGGUUGGAAAGCUUCGGUGGUUUUGGAUGGACUCGCGGCUUAUCAGCUUGUUGGUGGGGUAGUGGCUUACCAAGGCUUUGACGGGUAGCCGGCCUGAGAGGGCGACCGGCCACAUUGGGACUGAGAUACGGCCCAGACUCCUACGGGAGGCAGCGGUGGGGAAUAUUGCACAAUGGGCGGAAGCCUGAUGCAGCAACGCCGCGUGCGGGAUGACGGCCUUCGGGUUGUAAACCGCUUUCAGCAGGGGCGAAGCUUGUGGUGACGGUACCUGCAGAAGAAGCACCGGCUAACUACGUG